UCGAUCCUAGCAGGUGUACAGAAGUACUUGAUUGCAUCUAGUUCUGUAUUAUGGUAAAUUAAAAAUGCAGCUAGAAGGAGCACAUGGAAUUGCAGUUGUAUCAAAGUGGUCCAUCCAUGGUCAAUAAUCUCAAUGCCCUAAUUAGUGCGCAGAAGAAGAUCACAUUCAUGCAUGCUACAGAUACAUGGGGUAUAUAGGUAAUUUCAGUCGAGAACUACAAAGCUUUGGUGUCUUAUUGCAUGCAGCGACUGUUAACCACCCCUGCCCUUUUGCCCUUUCGUCUGCAAACCCAGCCUUAUGGAUUUUGCCAUUUAUAGACACUUUUUAAGGCUGUGAGCCAACUAGGCUUUCCCCAAAUGUCAAACAAAUCGAAGACUUGGGUUGAUGUAUAUAUGUAUGACGACUUGGGUUGGCUUAUGGGUUGGCGUUAGAUAAGUGUAUUAUUAAGUGUUAAUCAUCUAUGUAAACAUGGCUUAGUCAUUAAGCAUGAUCGUGGAAUUUCUACUAAUUAGUUAAAGUGUCAUUAGUCUGCAACUGACGAUCUUUAUGAGUCACAACUUUUUUAGGCACGUCCAAAUGACUCAUAAACUUUGAUUUACAUCAUCAACUUCUACUAUUUGUACACCAAUUAUAUGCCUAGCCAAAUUUUGAUAAGGAAAAAAACAAGAGGGGUAAAUUAAGCAAAUCAAUACAUAUGCAUUGCCUGGUUUUGAUGAGACUAAUUAUAUGUAGAUUAUGUUAAUUAGGACAACAAAUUACUAAAGAUUUCAUGAAAAUUUAAUUGUGUUUGUGAGGCUUUUUCUCUUAGUGAAUUACUGAACUAUUGCAUCUUGUAUGGUAGCAAAUUAACCCUAGUUAAUUAUUUACUCCAAGAACAACCAAAUUGGAUAAAGAACAAAGGUUGAAAAAUUGUUGUUGAUUGGUCCCCACCCUCCCCCUAAAAUUUUUUCAACACUGCAAUGAGAAUAUAAUGAUUUAUCUUCAGUUAUGGGGCCCCAAACCUUCAUUUCAUCGGACCACUACCAAUACUCAACACUCCAACCAUUUCAAAACCCUAGCAUAUUACAUGCACUGUCAUGGAGGCUCAAAAUGUGACCGUUGGAUGAGUGCUAUAAAUAGAGAAGAAAUAAAAAUGAUUGUUUGCCUAAAAUGGAACUCAGUUUUACGUCUCC
This 1172-nucleotide long non-coding RNA is filed under the name Prunus persica (peach). Its description in RNAcentral is "long non-coding RNA (PPER_LNC004053)". Lineage: Eukaryota; Viridiplantae; Streptophyta; Magnoliopsida; Rosales; Rosaceae. The record is from RNAcentral.